GACGAACGCUGGCGGCGUGCUUAACACAUGCAAGUCGAACGGAAAGGCCCUGCUUUUGUGGGGUGCUCGAGUGGCGAGCGGGUGAGUAACACGUGCGUACCCUGCCCUUGACUUUGGGUUAACUUCAGGAAACUGAGGCUAAUACACGAUCGAAGCUCCUGCUCCAUGGUGGGGGUUGGAAAGUUUCGGCGGUUGGGGAUGGACUCGCGGCUUAUGAGCUUGUUGGUGGGGUAGUGGCUUACCAAGGCUUUGACGGGUAGCCGGCCUGGGAGGGUGACCGGGCACAAGGGGCCUGAGAUACGGACCAGAGUCGUAUGGGAGGCAGUAGGCGGGAGCAUUGCACAACGGGGGGGAGCGUGAGACAGAGACGUCGCGUGCGGGAUGACCGCCUGCGGGGUGUAAAACGCUUUCGGCUGAGACGAAGCGUGAGUGACGGUAAUGGGUAAAGAAGCACCGGCUAACUACGUG
RNAcentral lists this ribosomal RNA (468 nucleotides) under uncultured bacterium. Its description in RNAcentral is "partial 16S ribosomal RNA". It matches the Rfam family "Bacterial small subunit ribosomal RNA", at positions 28 to 507 of the family's 1533-position model. The record is from RNAcentral.